GCAGGGCCGGACUGGCCCACCGGGAUACCGGGAAAUUUCCCGGUGGGCCGCGGCACCUGGGGCCGGUCUGACAGCUCCUGUGAUCCCGGCGGCCGUGUGUGAGCUGUGCGGCCGCACAUAGCCCCAUGGGAGCAAGGGGGAGCCAGGCGGCCGGCUCACACACGGCCGCCCGGGAUCAUUUAAAAAAAAAUAUAUAUAUUUGCGGCGGGGGCGGAGCUUACUGUGCGGCGGGGGCGGGGCUUAGCGUGCGGCGGAGGCGGAGCUUACUGUGCGGCGGGGCCGGCUAAUUGCAGCAUGGGAAGCAGGAAGGAGUCCCUGCUUCCCCAACAA
Pelobates cultripes (western spadefoot toad) is the source of this 330-nucleotide non-coding RNA. Lineage: Eukaryota; Metazoa; Chordata; Amphibia; Anura; Pelobatidae. The record is from the annotation of a GenBank genome assembly.